This 212-nucleotide long non-coding RNA is filed under the name Bos taurus (domestic cattle). RNAcentral's name for it is "long non-coding RNA NONBTAT012559". The record is from RNAcentral. Lineage: Eukaryota; Metazoa; Chordata; Mammalia; Artiodactyla; Bovidae.
UGAUGAGUAUCAGUUACUUUUCAGAUGAUAAUAUGAGGCUCUAAUCUCAUUUACUUUUUUAAGCCAUAUUGUUGUAUUCAAGACCACAUGACAUCAUUCAGGAAACUAUCAAAAUGAGUAAGUAGAUUAGUCCAAGAUACAUUUGAAGCCCAAAUGAAAAGCCAGCAUAUCUGAAAACUGGAUAAAUCCUCAAAUUAUAUUGCUAAAAAUUC